This 669-nucleotide ribosomal RNA is filed under the name uncultured bacterium. Its description in RNAcentral is "bacterial SSU rRNA". It matches the Rfam family "Bacterial small subunit ribosomal RNA", at positions 843 to 1501 of the family's 1533-position model. The record is from RNAcentral.
GUGCCGCAGGGAAACCAUUAAAUGCCCCGCCUGGGGAAUACGGCCGCAAGGUUGAAACUCAAAGGAAUUGACGGGGGCCCGCACAAGCGGUGGAGCAUGUGGUUUAAUUCGACGCUACGCGAAGAACCUUACCUGGGCUUGACAUGUUAGUGGUAAGAACCCGAAAGGGGGAUGACUCCGACUUUGUUGGAGAGCUAACACAGGUGCUGCAUGGCUGUCGUCAGCUCGUGCCGUGAGGUGUUGGGUUAAGUCCCGCAACGAGCGCAACCCUUAUUCUCUGUUGCUCCGAAGCGAUUCGGGGCUCUCUGAGGAAACUGCCAGCGAUGAGCUGGAGGAAGGUGGGGACGACGUCAAGUCAUCAUGGCCCUUACGUCCAGGGCGACACACGUGCUACAAUGGCCGCUACAGAGGGUCGCAAUACCGUGAGGUGGAGCCAAUCCCUAAAAGCGGUCUCAGUUGGGAUCGGAGUCUGCAACUCGACUCCGUGAACGAGGAAUCGCUAGUAAUCGUGGAUCAGCCAUGCCACGGUGAAUACGUUCCCGGGCCUUGUACACACCGCCCGUCACACCACGAAAGCCUGUUGUACCCGAAGCUGGUGCGCCAACCCGCAAGGGAGGUAGCUAUCUAAGGUAUGACCGGUAAUUGGGGUGAAGUCGUAACAAGGUAACC